UUGAAAGAUUAAAAGACUUCAACUUACGUACCCUAAGGAUUUGAGGACUUCAACUUGCGUAGUUGAAGGAUUUGAAAACUUCAACU
This 86-nucleotide microRNA precursor is filed under the name Solanum tuberosum (potato). RNAcentral describes it as "MIR8024 microRNA precursor family". It matches the Rfam family "MIR8024 microRNA precursor family". Lineage: Eukaryota; Viridiplantae; Streptophyta; Magnoliopsida; Solanales; Solanaceae. The record is from Rfam by way of RNAcentral.